AUACGUAGGUGGCAAGCGUUAUCCGGAAUUAUUGGGUUUAAAGGGUGCGUAGGCGGCCAUUUAAGUCAGCGGUUAAAUCGUGGGGCUCAACCCCAUUCUGCCGUUGAUACUGGGUGGCUUGAUUGCGGUCGAGGUUGGCGGAAUUCGUUGUGCAGCGGUGAAAUGCAUAGAUAUGACGAAGAACACCGAUUGCGUAGGCAGCUGACCAGACCGCAAAUGACGCUCAUGCACGAAAGUGCGGGGAUCGAACAGGAUUAGAUACCCUGGUAGUCCGCACAGUAAACGAUGAAUACUUGUUUUCGGCGAUAUAAUGUCGGAGGCAAAGCGAAAGCGAUAAGUAUUCCACCUGGGGAGUACGCCGGCAACGGUGAAACUCAAAUGAAUUGACGGGG
This 392-nucleotide ribosomal RNA is filed under the name uncultured bacterium. RNAcentral's name for it is "partial 16S ribosomal RNA". It matches the Rfam family "Bacterial small subunit ribosomal RNA", at positions 523 to 918 of the family's 1533-position model. The record is from RNAcentral.